UAAGGGGGGGGCCAGCGAUAUCCGGAAUCACUGGGUUUAAAGGGUGCGUAGGCGGUGGUGUAAGUCAGUUGUGAAAUGCCCCGGCUUAACCGGCGGAACUGCGAUUGAAACUGCAUCACUUGAAUCAGGAUGAGGUAGGCGGAAUGUGGCAUGUAGCGGUGAAAUGCUUAGAUAUGCCAUAGAACACCGAUUGCGAAGGCAGCUUGCUGGGCCUGAAUUGACGCUGAGGCACGAAAGCGUGGGGAGCAAACAGG
RNAcentral lists this ribosomal RNA (254 nucleotides) under uncultured bacterium. RNAcentral's name for it is "partial 16S ribosomal RNA". It matches the Rfam family "Bacterial small subunit ribosomal RNA", at positions 524 to 776 of the family's 1533-position model. The record is from RNAcentral.